Cucurbita pepo subsp. pepo (vegetable marrow) is the source of this 3483-nucleotide long non-coding RNA. RefSeq lists it as uncharacterized. The record is from RefSeq and is a predicted model, not a curated record. NCBI's taxonomy places the organism in Eukaryota, Viridiplantae, Streptophyta, Magnoliopsida, Cucurbitales, Cucurbitaceae.
UUUAAUUUUGUCGGCCUUCGGAAAGGAGCAUCGCGAAGGGGAAAGGGAAUGUGCCUCUUCCGAAAUGACCGAUCAUUCUUAGAGGAUCGGGGACGAAAACUCUGCAAGGCAAAAACAGUUCUCGAUGAUCGCCAUUUUUGUGGACAAAUUGCAGAGGAACACAGAGGUAGCAGCAUCGGAUCCUAAAUUAAAAUGGAGAAAGAGAUGAGGACGAUGUGAAAUCUGAACCAGGAGACGAAUCGAGCGGUAAAUUGGAUGGAAUUGCGUUGCGAUGUUUUCAAUUUAGGGUUUGCAGAAGGAAUAGUUGAAUCAAGAGUGACACUGACAGUUGCUAAUAAUUGAUGGAUUGAUGGAUUUCUUGUUUGAUGAUGGAACUGUUCAUCUUCACCUUUUUGUUUCUGACAGCACGAUUGGAAAUCUGGAACUUCGCUCGAUAAGGAGAAGACAGAUCAGUAGUGUGCAUGCGGAAGUGACGGCGGAGGAGACAGCGGAGGCCGGCAAGGCGGGGCGGAGAUUAGAAGAGAUUUCGAUAUGACUUUCAAGCUAUGUGAAGAAUAUCUCAUCCAAUUCCCCCAAGGGAUUUCCAGUUCAAUUCCUACAGUAGAAGUUGGAUAAGUUGCUGUCAUGGUGAUGGAAAAUAGCUGAGAAAUGGAUUUCACCAACAGCAGAGGAUGAAAUGGCAGAAGAAGAAGAAGUUGAAGAAGAAGAAGAAGAAGAAGAAGAAGAAGAAGAAGAAGAAGAAGAAGAAGAAGAAGAAAGGAAUCCUGAUGAUGCUGCAGCAGAGAAGAAUGGCACAGAGGUUAAUCCAUUUGAGUGGCCAUGGAUUUGCCACUCCCCCAUUCUCGUCUCUGCUGCUCUUUCCUGCAUUCGCAAUUUUAAUUCACAGGCAAAAGUCAGAACACCAAAUAUGAUAUAUCUACUGAACUACAUGAGGAGCUGAAUGCAAACACAAGAAAUUUAUGUUCGGAUUAUAUGAAGUUUGUUUAUCAAAUGGUUCAUUACCCUGGAGAUGGGAAAGAAACAGGAAUUUGAAGGCACAGCAUAGCCAUAUGGCUGAGAAGAUCCAAUUGCUGCUGUAACAGAGUUCUCAAGCUGUUUGUGAUUGAGCAAGAUGUUAGCCAAGCAUUAACAGGAAAACAAAAGAACUCCAGAACUUAGUCUUGAGAAUUACCGUCGCUCUACCAUCAACGACGAUGUCAGGUGAGCUGAGAUGACAACCAUUACCAAACAUGCCAAUGCUCUCACUUUGAGGGUCAGAAUGAUUGGGGGGAGCAAUUCGCAAGCUCAGGUCAAGACUCUGGUUGUCCUCUACAAAUCAAGACGGUUUUCGAAACCAAUUGUUACCGAUCGAGCAAACGGGGUUGUUAAGAACUAGAUUGACAAAAUGUAUAAACAGAGAAGAACCAAACCUCCUGUGUCAGUCUCUGCAGCCAUCUCUGACAUAUAAGAACUUGGAUCAAAGUUUGUUACAGCCUCUUUACCAUUGCAUCUUAAGGCAGCUAUGUCAUAGGCCCUGAUUGAACAACAGUAAACUAUCAAGUUAAGGGCGUGACCCGAACGUACCGAAAAGAAAGAAGAAAGGCAAACAAGCUGUGUCACUCCCGACUAUAAAAGCUUCUUGCGAGGAAGCCCUCCGUGACACUAGCCUUAAGCUAACAGCGAACAUAUGGAAGCAUUAGAAAGUCAGAAAGAUUUAAGAAGACCUUGCAGCUUCAAUCUCACUAUCAAAGAGACCAAGAUACAUGUACCUAUAAGGAAGAAAAAUGCCAACAAAAACAGGUCGAUUCAAGCCAAAAUCCCAGAAACAUGAUCCAAGAAACACACAGAAAAGGAAGUCCCAGAAUAAUUUAGACUCACUUCCUGCCCAAGAACUGGCCCAUCCGAGCUUCCCAUCGACCACAUUUAUGCAAGGUAACUCCUCUGUACUUCGAGCUCCCUCUUGUAAAUCCAUUGCUACGGCGACGAAGAUUAUGAAUAAGCUCUUCCUUACUGAUAUUACUCAUCUGGGGUGUUAAUGGCAGAAUCAGAGAGAAGCUCUUCAUCAAUGGCGUUAUUUGAAUUUCUGACAGUAACAAGCAUUAUCUUAGACUACUACCUCACCUGUUUGAUAUCUUCUUCAUAAUUUUUGACACUGAAAUUGAUAUCUGCGUCGACCCCCCGAAACUUGAUCGCCGCUUUAUCAUAUGCUCUGAGAUGGAAGAUAUGAAUUCUAAGAGAAAUCCAACCAAAAAUGGCGGAAAGAACAAGAGAAGUGGUUUUUUAUUGUUACCUGGCGGCAGCAUGAGCAGUAUCGAAACCGCCUGAAGGAAAAGAGAAACAGCCAUAGAGAAAAUGAUGAAUCGAAGUUCGAGAAAAGAAAAGAAAAGAAAAGAAAAGGAAUCAAACAGCAAUGGCCGUACCCAAAUAAACCUGUUUCCCGCAGUCCCUGGUAACGAACAGAAAAGGUGCUCAAGAACGGCAUAAAUGGCGGAUUCAAAUUCAAGCAACCUAAUAAGGUCAUGGAACUGUCAAAACAAUAAAACACUUACCAAAUAUGCGAUUCCCAUCUCCCGGUUCUACGAUAAUACGUAACGCCACGAUACUGCGAACUUCGAGGCCUUGGACCGCGUCUGUUUUUCCUCAUCGUCUGAUCCUGUGGCUGCGCCGGUGCGCCGCCGUCUCCAUGAUUGAAUUCCGAUGGAGAAACCUCCGGCCACUGCUUCUGAGUACUCGAACUAGAAUUUAAUCCGUCGGUUAACGGGAAGAACUCCAUCGUCUGGUCGCGGUGGUCAUCGGAGUUAAAUUCAUCGGAAAUAGAAUUUAAUCCGUCCGUUAACGGGAAGAGCUCCAUCGUCUGGUCGCAGUGGUCAUCGGAAAUAGAAAGUGAUUUCACCGUUGAGCUUUCUUGAACCGCGGAAUUUUUACCGAAAGUGAACGGGAAAACCUCGUCGACGUUGGUGGUGCUGGCGGAAGGAUCGCCAUUAACGACGGAGGACGAGUUGAAACAUCCAGCGGUUUCCAUUCUGUUCGCUGGAAGAUUCAGAAAAUUCUCAGUAACCAUCUCCGAUGGAACAACGUCGUGGUUAAGAUUCAGCAUGGGCUUGAAACUCCACCUGCAAAAAAAACAUGGAAAUCAAAGCAUAAUUGGAUUGUAAAGAAUCAAACCACCACAACACUUCAGCUGUUACACAAUCAGAGGAUCAUUGUUGAAGAAACAAAGAGAAAAUGAAGAAGAAAACAAUAAGGGUGGAGAUGGGUCACCAGUAAACAGACUCCUGACUGGUUGAAUCAAUGAAGAGAGGAGAAUGAAGUCGAAAGAGAAAGUGGGUGAAGUUGUUAAUUUAUUGAAGGUGGGAGCUCGAUUUCCAUGGCGGAUAGAGGCAGGAAAUUGAGAAAAGACGAGGUGGGGGUCACUAAAAAACUGCACUUCUCUUGUCUCUUUCUGUAGUUUGAAAGAAAUCAACGAAAACGUUUUAUUUUAAUUUAAUUUUGUUUUUAUUUUUA